GAAAUGCGAUAAGUAAUGUGAAUUGCAGAAUUCAGUGAAUCAUCGAAUCUUUGAACGCACCUUGCACCUUUUGGUAUUCCGAAAGGUACACCCGUUUGAGUGUCAUUGUAAUCUCACUCCUUCAACUUUGUUGUUGCUGGAUGUGGACUUGGACUCUGUCGUGUUACAACGACUGGUCUGAAAUGCCUGAGUGCACCCUGCUGUUGCAGCGUCUUCAGUGUGAUAAGCACCUUCACUGAUUCAAGUUCCUUCGGGACACGUAGCAUUGUGGGCUCUGUGCUGACAAACCGUCCUCGGACAAUCUUUGACAAUUUGACCUCAAAUCGGGUGGACUACCCGCUGAACUUAAGCAUAUCAAUAAGCGGAGGAAAAGAACUAACAAGGAUUCCCCUAGUAAC
RNAcentral lists this ribosomal RNA (398 nucleotides) under uncultured Sebacinaceae. Its description in RNAcentral is "eukaryotic LSU rRNA". The stretch from base 1 to 105 matches the Rfam family "5.8S ribosomal RNA", at positions 50 to 154 of the family's 154-position model. Lineage: Eukaryota; Fungi; Basidiomycota; Agaricomycetes; Sebacinales; Sebacinaceae. The record is from RNAcentral.